Molecule: ribosomal RNA, 253 nt
Filed under: uncultured bacterium
Lineage: Bacteria
Description: partial 16S ribosomal RNA
Rfam family: Bacterial small subunit ribosomal RNA
Source: RNAcentral
UACGGAAUGUGCAAACGUUAUUCGGAAUCACUGGGCUUAAAGAGUCCGUAGGCGGCAUGUUAGGUGAGGUGUGAAAUCCCCCGGCUCAACCGAGGAAUUGCGCUUCAAACCGGCGUGCUUGAGGAAGAUAGAGGUGGGCGGAACUGAUGGUGGAGCGGUGAAAUGCGUUGAUAUCAUCAGGAACACCGGAGGCGAAAGCGGCCCACUGGGGCUUUUCUGACGCUGAGGGACGAAAGCUAGGGGAGCGAACGGG